This 253-nucleotide ribosomal RNA is filed under the name uncultured bacterium. RNAcentral's name for it is "partial 16S ribosomal RNA". It matches the Rfam family "Bacterial small subunit ribosomal RNA", at positions 524 to 776 of the family's 1533-position model. The record is from RNAcentral.
GACGAACUGUGCGAACGUUAUUCGGAAUUACUGGGCGUAAAGGGCUCGUAGGCGGCCAACUAAGUCAGACGUGAAAUCCCCAGGCUCAACCUGGGAACUGCGUCUGAUACUGGAUGGCUUGAAUCCGGGAGAGGGAUGCAGAAUUCCAGGUGUAGCGGUGAAAUGCGUAGAUAUCUGGAGGAAUACCGGUGGCGAAGGCGGCAUCCUGGACCGGCAUUGACGCUGAGGAGCGAAAGCCAGGGGAGCAAACGGG